GACGAACGCUGGCGGCGUGCCUAAUACAUGCAAGUAGAACGCACAGUUUAUACCGUAGCUUGCUACACCAUAGACUGUGAGUUGCGAACGGGUGAGUAACGCGUAGGUAACCUGCCUGGUAGCGGGGGAUAACUAUUGGAAACGAUAGCUAAUACCGCAUAAUAUUGAUUAUUGCAUGAUAAUUGAUUGAAAGAUGCUAUUGCAUCACUACCAGAUGGACCUGCGUUGUAUUAGCUAGUAGGUGAGGUAACGGCUCACCUAGGCGACGAUACAUAGCCGACCUGGGAGGGUGAUCGGCCACACUGGGACUGAGACACGGCCCAGACUCCUACGGGAGGCAGCAGUAGGGAAUCUUCGGCAAUGGACGAAAGUCUGACCGAGCAACGCCGCGGGAGUGAAGAAGGUUGUCGGAUCGUAAAGCUCUGUUGUAAGAGAAGAACGGGUGUGAGAGUGGAAAGUUCACACUGUGACGGUAUCUUACCAGAAAGGGACGGCUAACUACGUG
Molecule: ribosomal RNA, 505 nt
Filed under: uncultured bacterium
Lineage: Bacteria
Description: partial 16S ribosomal RNA
Rfam family: Bacterial small subunit ribosomal RNA
Source: RNAcentral